UUCAUUACAUAACUCCGAUAAUCAUAAUUUUGUCCGUUGAGGUGAAGACCAAUAGAUUGAAGAGAACCAUCUUUUUCAUUGUUAUUACUAUUUUCUAAGAUGGACAUCUAUUUAUGUAUAUUAAAUCCAAUGCUUUAAAUUAUAUUGCGACACUUAACACAGUUUUCUUCAAAAAAUAAUCUACAUCGUCCUAUUAGCUUAUGUGUACAUCUUCU
Molecule: long non-coding RNA, 215 nt
Filed under: Lathyrus oleraceus (garden pea)
Lineage: Eukaryota; Viridiplantae; Streptophyta; Magnoliopsida; Fabales; Fabaceae
Description: Pisum sativum (pea) long non-coding RNA (PSAT_LNC009661)
Source: RNAcentral